Non-coding RNA from Macaca mulatta (Rhesus monkey), 873 nucleotides. NCBI's taxonomy places the organism in Eukaryota, Metazoa, Chordata, Mammalia, Primates, Cercopithecidae. The record is from RefSeq and is a predicted model, not a curated record.
UCUGCCUGUCUUGGCCUCCCAAAGUGCUGGAAUUGCAGGCAUAAGUCACUGCCUCUAGCCUGGGGAGGGAGGGUUACUGUUGAAGUAUUAUCUUUGUAUCCUAAAACAUGCCCUUUUGAAAGCGAUGACGUUGAUAAAAAUCUUCUACUGAAGUCUUUGCAAGUCAAAGAACUUAAUGCUUCCUAAAUCCAAAUAUUAAAGUUAAAAAAAGAGAAAGGAAAUGUGUGCAGAGAAAGUGUGUUUUACAAGUUAAUUAAAGAUGGAUUCACAGAUGUUUGUAGAUUUACCUAGAGUUUUGAAUUCAGGAAGCCAUCAUUCUUCAGAAGGCAAUGACGGAACAGUACCAGCAGCAACUGAAGGACCAGCAGAAGAAUUUCCCUGGCUAAUACCUCCAGUACCCUGCUGAGUAGAGUGGUUAAAGUGGAAAUUCUUGCCUUCUCAAACUUUCAGUGUGUGGUGGGGUCUCUUCCAAACACUCCUGAAGGAAACUUUACUUCUCCUAUGAUGGAAUCAGGAAUUACUCGACAAACCUAAACUGUGAAUGUACUCUCAGCAAUCCAAAUCAGGAAAAUUCAUCUAUUUAUAAUCAUUUUGAAGAUUUUUACCUAGAAAGUCACCAAGACUGUCAAUUUGAUGUCCUAGAGUUUCGAGUGGAGGUGGGAUCUUUCCAUGUUGCCCAGGCUGCUCUUGAACUCUUAGCUUCAUGGAAGACUCCCACUUUGGCCUCCCAAAAUGCUGGAAUUACAGCCAUGAGCCAUUGUGCCCAACCCUGGAGUGUUACGAAUAAUUCGUCUGGCUUAGAAAAACUGAAAGGAGUGACUGCUAACAGACACAAGACAUGAAUGAGGUCUCACUUUGGUGCCUAGCCUGGUC